GCACCCCACUCUAGCUUCUGCAUUAGGCCUGCCCCUCUGGAAGGAGGCAGAACUCCUCCUGAGGAAGCCUGCGCUGCCCCUGGGCAGGGACAGAGGAAAGAGCUCAGGAAGGGACAGAACUGAAAUAACCCGUGCCACCUUGACACUCGCCCAUGGAUGGCGGACGGAGAAAUGGGGGCUCAUAGCCCGAGUCUAAUCUCCAAAAGAAGAGUGAGCCCAUCUGACAUAUCGUAUGAGCACGGAGCUUAGGGGACUCUUCACCAAAACCUAGACAAACAUUUGAGUGCAUUUUUUUUUUUUUUUGGAAAGGGAGAUAGCGCCCAGUGGGUCUGUUUUAUAAUGCAUUUGUGUAAGGGGGACGAAGGAGGAAAUGGGAUUUAAAAAUAAAACUGUUUACUUCA
Molecule: long non-coding RNA, 401 nt
Organism: Sapajus apella (tufted capuchin)
Lineage: Eukaryota; Metazoa; Chordata; Mammalia; Primates; Cebidae
Exons: 2
Source: RefSeq, a predicted model, not a curated record